CUAGCUACAACUACAAGAUAUCAAACUUCCUUGGAAAAAAAACUUUAGGUCAAAAUCCUGGUAAUGCGAAACCCAAUUCCCAACCCCCAAUUUCCAAAUUCAUGCUUCUUCCUUCAGCAAUUCGAACUUCCUGCUGCCCGUCAAACAUCUUAGAUAUCAUUAUUAACAUGGAUUAAUCCAUUCUCAAAGUUCCAUUAAUGGGGGUUUUCUUUCUCAUAUCGAUCAGUUCUUUGAAUGCAUCAUCCACCAAUUUGAGGUGCCACACUUUUAACAUUUUUCUAUUCAUUACAAUCAUAAUAUAUUUGGGUUUUUGUUUGAUGCUUAAUUAUAUGAUUUUAGUUGAUUUACUUUUUAUUAGGGAGUUUUGUUGAAUGAUUAUAGACCUUGGACUACAGGUUCACAUUAUUUGGUAUGGUAGCUCAAUUGAUGAUUUUGAUAUUUAAGUAAUGGGUAAUCUUUUGUGCUUAUCAAUGAGCUUUAAAAACUUAAAAUUGAUAGCUAUUAAGGGUUUUUGAGUAUGAUUAAAUUGUUAGCUUUUCCUAUAAAAUGAAGUAUUUUUCAAAUGCAGUAGCUGUAGAACUUUAAUGCAACAUUGCUGUGGUAUUCACAUAUUUUUUCAUGUUUUAUGUGGUGUGGAAUUAUGAAGUGUUUAUGAGUCAUAUGUUUGAGUUCCUUUUGAUUACUUGAUGGGAUUUGAUAAUUGGAUGUUCAUCACCAUCAUACCCAGUGUAUCAUGCUUAUAAUUGGUUAUAUGAAUGAUAUGCUACAAUCCAAUAUGAUUAACUGAACAUUGGUGAUAGUGAAUGAUACUGAGACUUUCAGAGUGAAAAGGUUCUAAGGUAGGGUUUUGGGAUGGUGAGCAAAUAUAUGCUAAUUGGCAAGUAUUUCCUUUGGAUUUUAUUAGUUGUUAUAGCUCCUUAGCAACUACUGUUUAUCAAUUGAUCUUAUUUUGUAUAUAUUUCUCCAUGUAUUAAGUAAAACAUAGUCAAAUAGGAUCUUGUUUGAUUUGUCUUAAUGCGUAUUUUCAUAAUUUUAACUUUUAAGAAUUUUUCAUAUGAAAUUAAAGAUAUUAAAGAUUAAUCGCGCAUUCGAUAGCGUGAAAAACAGAAUUGUAGCAACUAUUAAAAACAAGAGGAAGUACUUUUUUUCUAAAUUAUUACCUUUAUAAAUUUUUUCAUCCCGCCCUCUAAUGAUAAUUACUUCUAUGUCCCAAAUAUUUGAAACCUUUAUAAUUUUUGAAUACUUUUAUUAUAUAAUCCAAUUCAAAAAUUCUCAACUUUCUGAUGCUCCAUAUGAAUCCAAUCGGAAAUAGUAGGAAAUUAAUCCAAAUUGCUUAAUCAAUUCAGAUAAGAUUGGAUUUUUGUUCAUGUCCGAACAAUUUUCAUCCAUAAUCAUAUGUAUUGUGUGCACCUGCGUCUGCGAGUGUGAUGAAGAGUAACAAAAAACACUCCACUAAGAUAAUGGAGGUCAAUUUUUGUGAAGUAGAUGUAUUUGUUGAUCAUUUGGAGAAGCUUUUUUGAAAAUAUCCUGAUUUUAUUGAUGUCUAGUUAAAAAGAAUCAAUACACUGUGCUUUUUAUUUUGCAUUUGUUUGUUCCAUUUGUGUCUUAAAGGAUAUAGGCAUCUCUAGUUAGUCGGUGAUAGCUUUGACUAUGAAGAACUCAUCAAUAGGUUUAGAUUUCAGAUUAAAGGACAGAGAGUUUCCUGAUCUUUAUAGCAAAAUGUUAUGUCAUGGGUCAGAAAAUCGGAGUUGUGACUUGUAAGUUACGGGUUUCUUGGCACUGCUUACUAUGGUCUAAAAGGAAUUAAGAGAAUUACGUCUCUAUUACAGUCUCGAUUACGGACCCAUAUCCAACACUGUACAUAUCUGAUGCUAUACAGAUUACAGGGUAAAAACAUGUACCCGUAUGUUGGAACUUCAAUUUUUUUUUUCCGUCUCCAUACUUGCUCUUGUCUCAAUGCAACCUAGGCUAUUAGAGUUUCCAAAUGUGACACUUGUUUCGAUCGAUGCUUCUCUUUAAGUCCAGGAUAUUAUAGUAUUUCCUUCCUUGUACUACUAGUAUUUAUUAACCUUUUUAUUAGCCUGUACAGCUGUUUCGAUGCGCAUUUCUUAAAUGAUGACAUAGUUCGCAAAAAUGAGCGAGCGCCGAAGCGAACAUUGCAUUGUUUUAGUGUCAAUGCUUGAGUCCAUUUGUAGCAAAAAGGCUAAGAUAGAAAAUUUACUGCUUGAUUUUGGGUGAAUUUGGUUUUAGGAAUUUUGUUUCUCAGCUGCAGUUUAGUUUAUACGUCCUUGAGAAUCAACAUGAAUUAACUUGUGCAUAGUUAUAAUCUGCUAAUAGUGAAAUAUGUCCAUUAGAAAACAACAUGACAAGAAAUGUAUAAAUGUACUACCUGCUGCCUGCUGGAGCUUGACUUUUGGGUUAGUAGCAUUUGAAUUUAGCUGCCCGAGAGAAAAGUAAGUCAGGUUUUGGAUGGCGUUUGGGAUUGUAUGUUUUUCUAGUUGUAAUUCGUAAGUAAAUCAAGUCUGAAAAUGUAUGAAAAAGGAGGAUCGACAUAGAUUCAUGAGGGGAAGAAGUCAUAAUGGAAGAGAAUAACUGCAGGAGGGUUAGAUACUGUUGUAAAUUAAGUUCUAAAAAAGGUAACAAGUAUCCGAGUUUUGCUCAGGGCUUCAUAUUUUUGAUGUUAAUGCUCGUUCUGACUUUAUGUUCAUUGAAUAUUACUGCUUAGCUUCCAUUGUUAAGGAAAUAUUGUACGAAUUAGAAAAAUCAUUUUAGUUUUGGAAUUAUUAUAUGUGAUCAAAUUCUCUUUUUCCUUGUUGUACAAGAUGAGAUAGAUUAACUUGUUUCACGAGAACUCUCUUCCUCUCUUCCUUUCUCCCCAUUCCACGUUUAAGAAAUCUUCCACUGAAUAAUGCACCAUUAAGACAGUAUAGGCUGUUAGAAGCUUCAAUUCCCAACUUCCAGAGCUAGUAAUUUGAUCUUUUUUUGCGAUGGAAUUUGAACUCUAUGAUAGGUUUUUCAAUAGUCGUGUUUCCCUCGAAUUACGCUGAGCAUCUAUCUAAGUAAUCGGAUGUAACUUUGAGUUCAGUUUUCAUCUAUUUGGAGCCACUGGUAAUAGCCUAGGUAUUGCUUUGAUUACUGAACUGCUUAAAGUGAUUAAUGAACAGCUUGAAGUGAGGAAUGGCGUCUAGGAGGCUUUAUUGCUUCGUUUAUAUGUAGCUUGACAUGGCACAUCCGGACUUGAUCAAAUAGCUCGGAAAAUCAUGAAGUCAUGCGACUAACCAUAAAGAAGAAAAGGAAGAGAUCUAAAUGCCAAUUUAUGAUUCAUAUUUAGUCGGUGAUUCACCAGAAUAGUCUCUGCCGAGUUGGAGCUGAGAGGCGAGGAACGAGGAGGAAGUGGCUAAGGUAAGUCAUGGUGCGCCCACGCAAAAUUAGGAAACAAAUGGGCAGAAAAUGCAAAUUAGCUACCGGGAAGAACUGAUAUAAGAGAAGGCAUUUCUUCAACAGAAAAUGAAGAUCGACUCCUACGAGCUUAUUAUGCACCCAUUUCCUGAUUUCAGUUUUGAUCCUCCAAUUCAAUAUUUUCGACCGUCCAUGGAACAUAAAAGCCGCCAUUGAUGGACACCAAUAAUUGUACGAGUAAUAAUUGUACAAGUAACAAUGUCAAAGAAGAGAUUGGUCGUCUAUCUUCUAAACCAUGCACUCACUGAUGACAAUUAUGACGCGACUUCUUGGACAAGGAUUAUUCGAGAAUCUUGAGUCCAAUGAUGUUGCGAACCGAGAAGAAAAAAGAUCUAGAUUUGGCCGAGAAGUGUAAAACUGGUUAUAGAAAACAUGGUUUCAUUCAAACUUAGGUAGGGGAAGAUAGUUAGCUCAGUCUGAGUUAGAACAUCAUUUUAAGUUUUCACCCUUUUCAAUGUUGUAUUUUUAGCUUCUUUUUCUUUAGACUUUUGAUACUUAUACUAUUUCAGUGAUUUUGCUAUAUUUUGUUGACAGUCUAUUUUUUAUUUAUAUUUUAUUCUUAAUUUAUAAGUUAAAACAUAUUUAAGUGUAAUCUUGUUUGAUUUGCCUUAAGUAAGGAUUAUUUAUAUUAACUUUUUAUAAUUUUUAGUUAUGCGCAACUAAAGAUAUUAAGGCUUUAAUAAUAUACUGAAACUAAA
This is a long non-coding RNA of Amaranthus tricolor (Joseph's coat), 4157 nucleotides long. RefSeq lists it as uncharacterized. The transcript has 3 exons. The record is from RefSeq and is a predicted model, not a curated record. NCBI's taxonomy places the organism in Eukaryota, Viridiplantae, Streptophyta, Magnoliopsida, Caryophyllales, Amaranthaceae.